ACAAAGCGGUUGGAUUUUUUUCUCAAAGUUCCUCUAAAUUUUUUCUCAGAAGAACCAGAAAAAAAAAAACAAAACAAAACUCCAUCAGAAUGGGCACAGCAACUUUCGUUGACAUCAUCAUAGCCAUCCUCUUGCCUCCUCUUGGUGUCUUCCUCAAGUUUGGCUGCGAAGUCAGUAUUUUUUUUACAUAACAUAUUUGUGUGUGUUUUAUAGACAGAAUUUUGAUGUAGUUUUUAUUCAUGGUUCUUAUAAAUAUGACUUCAAUAAGUUGUAAAUAUAUGCUUAUGUUCGGGGCGGAUUUAUGAUUUUUCAGGCGGAAUUUUGGAUCUGUUUGAUUUUGACUCUUUUUGGUUAUCUCCCUGGUAUUAUCUAUGCCAUCUACAUCCUCACCAAGUGAUCCUUCAACAAUUUCUGUAAGCAAUUUUUUUUUUUUAUAAAUUUCUUUUACUUUUACUUGAAGGAAAAGUAAGAAACAGAAAUGAAACUGCAUAAUUAAGCAAACAUACAUGCCUUUUCAUUGGGCCACCUGACGCGACCUGCACUACCAACUGAUGAACUUCCUUUUUGUUGUCUUUUUUCAAUGGACAGGUGGUAGAGAUGUGAAGGGCAGCUGUGUGUGUGUUUUGUUUCUGCAUGAAGGGCUUGUGUUUUCAAUUGUUCAUGUAUAGAACUUAAUAAAAAAAUUAUCUGGUGUAUGUAGCCAAACGGAUUGUUCAUUUGUUUUUUUUUCUUUUUUUUUUUCUGGAUUUUAAUAAGAAAUGGUAGAGGCCUCAUAUUUGACUCACAAUCCAUUUGCUUUACACUCUUUACCCUAUUUUUCUCUGUUUGUCAAAUUAAUUUUGUGCAAAGACUAAUCUUGGGCAUAGGCGUUUCUUCUUCUGUUAAUUUCAAUCAUGACUUUUGGUUGACAUUCCACAUAACAAUUACUUAUUCACAUAAGCUAAGAUUACCAAGCCAUGUUUGAAAAUUGGGCCGGCAUUCCACGUUCCAAAACAUUUAAUGUCAUUCAUGAUAUACAACCGAUUACACUUAAGAUUUUCUUGUCGUAUUGUUAGUUUCACCAAACAUUCAACCCGCUCGAAAAGAUUCAACGAUCUGUAAUACAUUUUUCCUUUAUACAUAUCUAAUACCAUCUACGCAAGCUCAUACUGUAACAAAUGGGCCCACCGAUUGCUCCAUUUUUGUUUUUGGCGCAACCAUUUUACAAAGAAUAUUGUCCAAUUAUUUCACCAAAAAGAAGAACAUGGAACAAUUAAAUUGUAAUAAUAAUCUAAUGAAGAACUUCUCAAACUAAUUCCUAUGUCCCACGAGACGAGAAACCCUACCCUUUUUUAUUAUUUUUUUAAUCUUUUUCUUUGCGAUCCUUUUAGCUUUAAUCAAAAGGUAAUUCGCCAGCUAAUCAAAUCAAGAAAUAAAAUACAGUAUUUUUCGCAUUAAGCAUAAUGGGGGAAUCAGAACCUCAAAACAAUCACAUACGUUUCAAUUUUAGGGAGACUUUGGAAAAACCCAAAGGAGAGAGAAAUUUUUUAAAAGAAGUCAAAAUGGACAAAAUUGCCCUUAUUUAUUUUUGGAUUUCUUAAUGAAUCCUUUACAUUUGCAUGUCUUUGAUUUGAAAGUCGAGAGGUUUUUCUGUCUUUUUUGAAAAAGCUUUGGCUUUUUCCAAAAGUGAAAGUUUUUUUAUGGCUAAAACCUAAAUUUACUUCAAUUUUAUAAUAGCAAAUAUGGUUUAAACAUCGAAUUAUAUAAUAUUCUUUUAGUUCAGCCCAUGAGCUCCAUACGUCGCACGUGGGAAGGGUCAAGUCUUAUGCAUGAAGAUUGAGAAGGACGGUUACGUCACGUGCAUAGUGUGCAUGCAUCAUAUUUGAAGCCUCCAUCACCGCCGUCGUUUCAGCAUGUCGCGGCAACCUACGAGCCGUUAGAUUUUGGAUACAGCCUGGUCGACAUUGCAAUUCAGUGGUCCAGCCCUCACGCGCCAUUUCAUGCUCCCGGAAAGUUAUUAUAACAUUUCGUAUAGAACCCCCGACGAAAUGUUAUUAAUUAUCAUAAUCUAGUAUUAGUAUUUUGGUAAAUGAAUACCAAGAAAAACACUUGGACCAAUUACAAAGUUACAAGACUAUCGAAAGUGAUCAAAAUCCACAAUCAACAAGAAAACCAACCAUGAAAAAGAAAGAAUGUUAUUAUCAUGAAUGUCAAAACAAUGUAAUUUUUUUAAUAACGAUAAUUAGACCUCGAGUAUAGGGAUAAACGUGAUUAUAAUUAAAUAAUAACUCUUCAAUUUCGGUUAUAAUUUUAGUAGGAUUUAUUGAUUCCAUUAUAUAACUUAACUACUUGCACAAAAGGCAAAAGCUUUUCAUAUUAAGGACCACAUUUCUACUUCAAACAAAAAAACAAGGACCCCAUUUCCACCAUUUAAAAAUUUGAGGGUCAUGCCAAAUACUAAAAUUUAGCAGAAUUCAAUUGUUACUUCAAAGACUCAAAUAUGUCACACUUUGAUAUGUCAUCGUCAACAUAUGGCACACUUUGGAUAAGGGUGAAUUCUAUGUUUGGUUAUCAGCACCCAUUGGAUUCUAACAAUAUCCAUCUUUCCAUAACUAUAAUCUAAGUUUAAAAGCAAAUAUUUAUUUAAGAUAAUGCUUUCUUCCUUUUAUGCAAAGAGAUACUCCUCCUUUAUGCGAAUUACAAUUUAACACACAUAUGUAAAAAUAAUUCAUAAAAAACACAAAAAGAAAAUCUUCUGCGCGUAUGUCACAUUGCUAUUAGUAGGAAUGUAAGAACUCUUACUUACAUGGUAAAUACGAGGGAAGGGGAAGCUAUACUGUAUAUGCUUUGACAUUUGUUUGCAUGAGUACACAAAAUGGUCGAUUAGGUUUGAGAAGAAGAGGAAGAAGAAUAAGCACAUGGGAGAGUGACAUGUUCACCCAUUUAUGAUUCUAUUGGACCAAACAUACAUAGCUGUAUAUGAUUCUUUUUCCUUUUUUUCUUUAUUCGGAUUCGGCUAUAUAGCCUGUAUGAAUCUGAGAACAAAGAACCACCCCCCCACAAAAGUAAGAUUUACAAUAGAAAGUUUACAGGGCUAAGGAACCGCGUACACACUGUAUCUACACCCACUGGCCAAUGCAUGACCUCCACGUGGCUCCUCAGCAAUAGAGCAGCUGUAUAUAUAACCACUCAGAGUCUUCCAGUUUCUGUCACAACACAAAAGCAGUCUUCUUCUUGCACUGUAAACUCUCACAAAGUUCUCAUUUUUCCUUAAAGAAGAAGAAAAAAAGGGUCCUCCACAUCUACAGCCAUGCCGAGUGAAGGAACAGCAAACUUCAUAGACAUCCUCAUAGCCAUCCUCUUGCCUCCUCUUGGCGUCUUCCUCAAGUUUGGCUGCCAUGUUAGUAUCUUUUAAAACUUAAUUUGGAGCUCAUUAACUUAUUUAAUAUGUGUUUGUGUGUGUUUAUAGAACUUAAUUCUGAUGUAAUUGAUAUGGUUCUUAUAAUUAUAUUUGCUGAAUUUGUGAUUUUCAGGUUGAAUUCUGGAUCUGUCUCUUGCUGACUAUUUUUGGUUACAUCCCUGGGAUUAUCUAUGCUGUCUAUGCCAUAACUAAAUGAGACUUCAAUUUCUGUAAGAACCCACAUCUCUGUUUCACUGAAAAUUUUAUCUUCUGUUUGAUAUUUCAAUACAACAAAGAAAAGAGGGAGUUUUCCCAAAGUUAGGAAGGGGAAGGGAACGGGGGUUUUUCUUACGCACACUGUAAAUAUGUCUGUAAGUUACGGCUAUUUUUCACUGUGCUAAAACAUAAAAAAGAGAGGAGUACUUUAAACUGCAUGAUUAAGCAAAAAUACCUUUCAUUGGGUCAGCAGGCCAGCUAUGAUUUAACAGGAGAAAAUGGGUAGCUGUUGGUCCACAUGACAGGGCCUGCACUAAAUUCAUGCCAUCAUCGUUCUCAUACUUUUACUUUUCUUGUUUGACAGGUACGUAGAGAUGUGAAGGGCACAUAUGUCUUUUGGUUUCUGAAUUAUGGGAUUGUUUUCAACGGUUUGAUGGAUAGUACUUUAUCUGGUGUAUCCAGAUGGACGGUUGAUACAUCAUGUAGUGUGGUUUUGUCCAUUGUUCAUUUAUUUUUCUUUUCUUCCUUUUGAUUUUAUCCUCCUUCCACCUCCUUAUCAAUCUGUUGUAAAGGGUGGAUGGUAGGUCUGGUGAUUCAUGUCCCUUAAAACAUUAGUUAUUUAUUUUUCAAUGUGACUUGUGUUCUAAUCCCACCCUAUCGGGUUUGGAGGUAUCAGUGGCUUUUUGACUGCUUCAUAUUUUAUUAUAUGUAACUUUAUUAUUAAGCAAAGGGAACAUCAGAACAACCCCUCCAAUCAUAAUCAGGCCACAUAUUCCUUCUUCCAUAUAGAAUUACCAUAUUGGGUUUUAAUAUAUUUUAUAAAAUUUGAUUAGAAAGUCUCAUAUUGGGUUACUUACUUUGGUUCUGUUCAAGAGAGGAAAAGAAAAAUUGUUCAUCCGCAUGACGUGACAUCUCAUGUCUGCUGUCUUGUACAUUUGUAGAAAAAAACAACGAAGGAAGCUACCUUGCAUUGCAUCCAAUCCAAGCACUUUAAUUAGGGCAGAACAAUACGGAAGCUCAAACCUGAGGUGUUUAAUUACCUUUACUAACGGGGUUGGGAUUUUGAUAAAAGAGCGAUAGUAUUUUGUUGAUAAGAACUAAUGGGGUUGAGAUAUAAAAGCUAUUUUAUGCUCAAAUACAAAAGCUCUUAGUUUAUUUGUCACUUUCUUUGGUCAAUAAUAGUAUUUGUUCUACAAUUUUCUAUUGGAUUUUCAAAGACUGUGACCAACUGUACUUUUGCCGUGAUGUGGAAACAAAAUAGAAAAGAAAAGGCAGAAGCACAGAUGGUGUCUAAUCUACGUGGUUGCGUAUGAACCAAGUUAAAAUAUAGAAGUGAGAAUCCAUGAAAAGUUCAAGCCAACUCUCUUAACGUAUCCAAAUUGAUAACCCUUUAUGAUAUUCAAUUCCACAUUCACAUGAACAAAUCAUCAAGAUAAGAUCACGAGCAGCAAAAACAACAAUAUUUACCAGUUUAAAGGGAGAAGCAGAUAAUAAGAGGCAGGUCUAAAAGCUUUGUACAUCCACAUUAUUUCCAUUACAAAACUACAAAUUCCAGUGAACUUUUCAACUAAAUUUUAAUGCAAUAUAUAAACACAUACCAUCUGAGAAACGGGGUUCUUUUUCAGUUCGAAAAAGAUUCUCAAAAUUGCAUUUUGUAGAGAAAAAGACAUUGUCCCAAACAUAAGACUUACAGGUAUAUUUCAUCACAUAAAAACAGUCCAUAAUUCUUUCUUUUUUUUUGGUAGAUUUAUAUAUUGGUAAAUGGUAAAUAAUUAUUCUUUUGCAGCUUACUAAAUUUCUUAGGGUAUUCUAGUAGAAGGAAAAUCAAUGUCUAGCGAAAAACAGUAGGAGAAAUCAUUCAAUCAACAUAGUUUUACCCGCAAUUGGUGACGGUUUAAGGACCUAUAGUGACGAAGUUUUAGCCCCAUUAGACAAAAUUGUGUUUAGCAGCGGUUUUUUGGGUCGCUAACCGUAGGUAAAAGGUCUUUCAGCGACGAUACAUGUAACCGCCGCUAAAAGUCGUAACUACUUUAAAUUCGCCUCCCUUUCCUGUCAUCUCAAUUGGAGCACAAAUUUACAAAAUAGUCUCUCUGAAAACGAUUACCAGUUAAAAAAAUAUUUUUAUGAUCACCCAGUAUGGAGCUACUUUAGUUUACAUCAACUAAUACACAGUAGAUAUACAGUUGUACACUUAAUCCAGAAUACAAUCAAACAAUUAGAAGCCCGCAUUGGCAACCCCUGCACUUGAAGAGUGAUUUCAACUUUUAUCUCAUCCUUUGAAUUGCCACUCCCUGCGACACAUGGGGCAAUGUGCCUGAGGAGUCUGUGAAUUUACCCAUUUUAAGAUGCAAUGAAGAUGGAAAGCAUGGUUGCAUGCACCCCAAACUGCAAGAUAAAAGAAUAAUUUAGAAAAUUAUCAAGCUGUGCAAAAGAUGAACCCAAUAAUUAAUAUCAAAUGAAAAUUAUAAACAAAGAAACACAAAUCAGACUGCUAAUGCAAACGAUGAAAUGUCUGAAUCUAGUCAGUCAAUGCACAAAGUAAGAAAGGAUUUCCCACCUUAAAUGCAUGCAUUGUAAGCAAUUUGGUUGGCCUUCUUGAUAAUAGAAGAAGAAUAUAGGGUUUGACUGUUAGUUUGGUAGAUACCAUGGCAGCCGUGCAUUGCAAACCAUGUGUAAAAUGAUGUUCUAAGAUGUCGGCGGAAGAUCUUCUGUUAGAUAUUUGAAUCAUAUUUGGGUAGUUCAUUGAAGAAAAAGAGAGAAAAUCCAAAUGCCAAUGCUUGUAAAUUAACAAUGAUCUGUAUAUUCCAUACUACUGUGAAACAAAGCAUUGAUAUGAAUUGAUGUCAUUAUAUAUGAAUGAGUAGCAAGAACCGCACAAAUCAGAAUAGAAAAAUGUGAAAAAAGGUAUAACCAAAUGCGUAAAGAGACAACAUGUGCUUCACUACUCAAACAUCAUAAGUUCAUAGGUCAAUCUGAAACUCUAUUGCAGACUUAGAUCUUUAAUAAUAGGAGAGGCAACAGAAUUUGGUGAAAGAUGAAAUAUUAUGCAAGGCAUCAAGCAAAUAAUGUUAGCUACUUACUUAGUGGGCAAUCAUCCCCGGGGAGCUUACAAUCAGGACAACACCCAUCAAAUGCCAUCCUGCAAAUCCCACAUGUUUCAUCUUGUGCAUCCCAUGUCCAUGAAGCGACAGCAUGCCACCUGCAGGUUGAAAAGGAUAAGAACUAGAGCUCCAAGAGUACAUCAUUGUUAAAUUUAUAAACAUUCACAAGUGCAACAAUUGAUUAAUGAAAAUAACAGAUAGAGAAGAGAUAAAGAGGACAUACUCUGUUUGAAAAGCCCAUCAGAUAUUCGAAAAGAGAGUCAGUUAAGAGAAAACUGUUUCUAUAAAACGUGUGCAAUACAUUUCACAACAAACACGUUUCAAGUAAAGGCAAAUUAAUUAGCAAACAAGAUCAUGUAAAAUUUUCAAGCCGAUCAACAAUUAGUAAUUCUUGAAGAAGCCAAAUCAUAUGAAUUUGAUACCAUCAAACUAAAAUUCAUUCUACCAGGAUUAAAUAAAUGCAACAAAGUUAACACCAUAGAAGUGAAAGAAAAGGAAAAUAUAAACGAUUGUUAUAAAUAGUAUAAAGGUAGUGCAUUUAAAAGAAAGGAACUGAAAACACAUUGACAAGGAUACGCAAGAUGUUGACUUUCAUCCUCUUCUCCUGCAACUACAAAAUCCCAAACCAUACAUUUCAGAGAAGUGAAUGAUAAUAGAAUCUCUAGUGAAUGAUAAUAGAAUCUCUUUGGUUCCAUCAGUUUUGAGAAGAUACACACUCAGGAAACAAAAUUCAGAACCCUAUUGAUUUCAGCAAUAUUCAUGGCAAACUGUUAAAAAUAACUGCUGCUUGUAAUUCAUGGCAAACCAAUAUUGAUUUCAGCAAAUUUUCCAGCGACCAAAGUUUGGUGCUUUCCAUCAUAUUCAAGAAAUAUAUUUUAUAUGAAAUCCUCGAAACUUCCAAACCAAACUAUAAAUAAGCCUAUCCUUUAACUUAUAAAAAAAGAGGCAUUGGGGGAAAAAAAAACACUUGUAGCAGUGGGUUGAACUAUCCUUAUUGGUUGUAUGGCCAGAGUUGUCAUCAUAACGCCAAUAGGAUUUUGCUCAAGUUCUGCAUUACUUCGAAGACCAGUGUCUAACAUAAAGCUUACAUCGCUGUCUUUCCAGGUCUCUGUCUUCCUAAAAUACCCUAGAAUUUUCUCACUAAUAAUCCUUAAAAACCCAAAUAAUAAAAUCAAGAAUCAGCACUAAUUAUACCAAAUUCAACUCAAAAUCAAUCGCUAAAAUCACUCAAACACAUCAUAUUAGACCAUAGAAAAUAAAUCGAAGUUUUCAUCCUGCGACAUCUAGAGAAGAGCAGCCAUAGAGCGUACCUAGGGCAGAAUCGGAGCCACGGAAGAAGGCGAACCCUAGUCUUCGUCGUUCGUUCGAAACCGACGUCUGAGGUUGGUUUCCAGAGUCCGGGCAGCUUUGGGCUUGGAUUCAAGACGCCGUGUUCCUGACUGACACUAAGCCCACCAAACCAAACUAGGGCUACGAAUUUGAGCAUAAUUGGAAUAGACAUAAUGCAGGGUUUUUUGGGCCUCCAAAUGUUUGACUAUAUUUGUGACUUCAAGCCCAUUAAAAAAAGCCCAAAUUGUUAAUUUUAAUGAUUUUUAUUUAUUUAUAUAUUCGUCAUUGUGAAUUUAUACGUUUAGAUGGAAUGAGUGUGAUUUGCACGUUAAAAUGAGUAUAUUUCAUUUCAAAUAAGAAGCCAAACAUUAUAUUAAUAGAGGUUAAAAUAUCGUGUAAAUAGCUUGUAGCUCAAGUGAUUAAGAACAUUUACUCUUGCAUAUGAGGUCUUAACUUCAAUUUCCACCUCUCCAAUAUCGUUUGUAUCAACAAAAAAAAUAUAAAAAAAAUUAAAUACCGUAGUUAUUCUCUAUGCAACAUCCCUACACUUCAAUCAAGAAAAGUUUCUGUAUGUUAGACAUUCGUCAUGUUCAUCGCAAGAUGAAAUUUCAAAUAGGUCAUUGGAUUUGGAUUGGUGGGCGCUGGUGACCAUUAGGAGGAGGGAUGGUUGGCUAAUCUUGGCCGGAGUCAUGGAAUGAGAGAAGCGAGGUAUAUAGGGGAGACAAGAAAUAGAAAUAUUAUCAGCUACUCUCCUUAAUCAAGUCUAAUUCCUGAUUUCUUAGGUAUUAAAUUAUGAAUUUUAAUGUGAAACUCACAUAACUUUUAAUUCCUCAUGUACUAACUAAUAAACACGUGAAAAAUUAGGAACUAAAAUAAUUCCAAUGCUCAUAGCACACCAUAAAUUUCAAAUAGGUCAUUGCAUUUUUGGAGUGCUCGGUGAGCAUUAGGAGGAGGGAUGGAUGGCCGGUCUUGGGCGGUUUGAGAGUCUUGUUCUCGAGUCGAGAGGCUUUUUUUAAAUGCAAGAAAAAUUAAGAAUAGAAAUAAUUUUGAUACAUACCUACUCUACCUAAGUAGCACACCAUAAAUAUGGUGAAAGUAAAAUUAGAAAUAUAAACUGUCCAGAUAUAGUAUUAUUAAUUGUUAUUAGGGCAUGGGUCAAGAAAAUAGAAGCAUGACCAAAAAGAGGCAGAAUAAUAAAAAGAAAAAUCCUAAACAAUAAUGGACUGGAUUACCUUAUAAAUAAUAAUGACCAAAGAUAUAAUAUAGAUUGAAUGAACCACAUCAACAUCUGUGUUGUAAUGCAUGUAUGUAUGAGAAUUAACAGACAAUUACUUCCAUAUAAACCCAAGGGUGGAUAAGAAGUCCCAUGAAUUAAAAAAUAAUAAUAAAUAGAAAAAAAAACACACACAUAAAACAUCCACCAAACUCAAUUUACUAAAUUUUCUGCAUCAUAUUACAACUUUUUUUAUUUUUGCUAAUAAAAAUCUACCGAGACAUACCAAAAUGUUCUAUAUUGAAGUUCAUAUCUCCUGCUUUGUAAGAGCAUUAAAUUUCUAUUUAGGAUGUAAUCUUCUAGAAUUGGUUAGGUAGCCCUUCUGCUGCUAUAUAAUACCCCAGGCUGUUUGGGGCUAAUCCAUCUUCUUCUUCUUCCCUAGUUUGCAAUUUCUUUCUCUCUCUCUCUCUCUCUCUCUCUCUCUCUCUCUCUCUCCAUUUUUUUUUUCUUCCUUUUGAGCCAUGACUAGAAAGAAGGUCAAGUUGGCCUACAUAGCUAAUGACUCAACCAGAAAAGCCACUUUCAAAAAAAGGAAGAGGGGCUUGAUAAAAAAGAUAAGUGAACUGAGCACACUCUGUGACGUUCCAGCGUGUGCCCUAAUCUAUAGCCAGUAUGAGUCUCUCCCUGAUAUCUGGCCAUCUCCUUCCGGCGUGCAGCGUGUUAUCGCGCAAUUCAGAAAUAUGCCGGAGAUGGAACAAGGGCGGAAGAUGUUCAACCAGGAGACCUUUCUCAGGCAGCGGAUCGUGAAGUCCCACGAACAGCUCAAGAGGCUGAGGAAAGAGAACAGAGAAAAGGAGGUGUCGAGGGUGAUGUUCCAGACCCUCACUGGUAGGCCUCUUCAGGGACUGAACAUGAUCGACCUGAACGACCUAGGAUGGCUAAUCGACCAGAAUGUGAAGGAGCUUGGUGAGAAGAUCAAGAGCAAGAGAGAGGAGCUGCUGGCUCAGAGAAAUGAAGUCACAAUGGCAGCACCAAAUGCAGCAGCUUUGCCUGCUAGAGCUGGAGACCAUGGCAUGGACCUGAACAUGCAGCAGCCAGCAAUGGAGAACACCAUGCAGAGGCCUCCAUGGUUCUCAGAUGUGAUGACCCCGCAGGAGCCUAUGGGGUCUGGUGCUGCUGGUGGCGAUGAGGUGUUGCCCUUCGGAGAUCAGAAUCAUCCUGCCUUUUGGCAUAACAGUCCCUUUUUUCAUUGAACUCUAUCUGGUGUUUGUUUAGUUUUUGUUGUUUUUUUUAAGUGAUUUUCUUUUAUGGAUGUUUUGUUUUGAUGGUGCUAGUCUCCAUCUCAAACCACUGCAGGUUUCGUUUCUUAAUUUCUUGAAUUUAAAUUUAUGUACCCAAAAGUUUAUAUAAACAGUAGUUCAGUUGUUUGGUUUUCUCAAUCGUAUUCUUUGAGGGCUUAUAUUCUCUGAUGUAUUUGAGUACUUUAUUAGAUCUUUUUAAUAUAUCCUUUUGAAUUUAAGAUUUGUUGCUAUGUUAUUGAGAACCAACCAACCAAAGCAAGAAUGAUUAACAAAGAAAGGUCAAUGGAGUUGGAUAUGUUUAUCAGAAAGUUUUACAUUUCAUAGAUCGCAAUAUUAUGUAGUUCUUAUCUUCACUAAAAAUUACUCCUACACGUCCAACAAGAGUUGAAAGAUAAUCUCAUAUAACAUUUGAAGACAAACUUUUGUACCAUUGGUUAACUGUAAUUUUAUAGAUUGAAAACAUAUCAAAGAAAACUAUCCAAAAGAAAAUUACAAUUAAAAUCCUUUUGGUUAUUGUUAGAAGAAAUACAUAUUCAAUUAUAAAACAAAAAGAAGGAUCAAGCUACUUAUAGUACGAAAGAGUUUUAUUAAUGAGAACGAUAUACAUGUAAGUUAAUAACAAUAAAAACGAUGUCAAUUUGCCAUAUAUAGAACCUUAAUAAUGACACAACCAUUCAAUUUAUUAUCCGAUGCAUAUACUAUGUACAUACAUAGGGUAGGUAUACCUACCAUAUAUUUGUACCCAAAGUUACAUAUAUAUGGUAGGUAUACAUAUCGUAAUCUAUCGUUCUCGUAUUGUGGCAGUUGUUCAUAAAUCGUCUCUUAUUACUUAAAAGUAUAUAUUCUCUUAAAGUUCAUGUGUAUAUAUAUAUCAUGAGGCACAUCAUUUAAUUUAUUAUCUGAUGUGGAGACUACCUAUAUUGAUAUGAAUUCGGACCCUAGACCUAUCAUGAAUCAUGGACCAUAUGUAUUCAUCUUUUCACCUAGCUAACAAGAGGUUUUGUGUUCGGGCUAUAAGAAAUUAAAAUUCCUCAAAUGGGAAGUGGGAUUUUUUCCACUUUUGUAGAUAUUAAUCAAGAACAACUUUGAAGUGCAAGAAUCUCGAACUAUUCUCUAUGCACUUUGCAAAAUGUAAAGAAGGCUCUGCUGACAAAUAUCUGUGAACUUUAAACAAUCAAUGUCCAAACAAAGCACAAAGAACCCGUCAAAAGGUACUUACAAGGGAUCUUAGAAAAGUUAAACUUCACAGAAUUAUGUCUCGAAUAUGGACGUUUAGUUGAAGGAGAGCCAUUCAGAGGGAGAGAAAAGUGGAAGACAGGAGAAAAGUACCCUCGAGCACUGAUAUAAAUUAGUACAACCAGAAGUGCCACCUAGUUCACCAAAUCAGGCAGAGGUUCAGCAUCUUUAAUAUUAAUAAACUAUUUUGAUUUAAAACAAGUUGCGCCAAGUUGUCUGAUUAGCGGAUUCUAGUUUUGAUUCAAUGCUACGGGGUAAAGAUUUGUUAAUAGACAUACAGCAUGCAUAACAUGCUUUGUUUCUGGUUCAAAUUGAUUUUAUGUUUCCUAUUACUUUGGAGAUUCGGUCUGGUAUUUUGUUCUCUACCAUUGCUUUUUAUUUCUGCUAGCUGUACUUACUCUCUGUGGAGAAACACUAUGCCUAGCUAGAUAUGCAUGUUGUACUAGGCUUUAAAAACUAUGUAAAACAAAAUGCUUAAAAGAUUACUGAGAACAAAAACAUGUAUCAUGUUUUGUACUGAAAACACUGCAUAAUAUAUUUUUUUGUAGAUUUAUAUUGUGGUAAAGGGAAACUAAUUAUUCUUUCGCAGUUUACUAAAAAGGUUGGGGUAUUCUAGAAGAAGAAAAAUAAAAAUUUAGUGAAAAACAGGAGAGAGAAAUUCAAUCAGCAUAUUGUUGCUAAUUUGGUAAUAAAUGACGGUUUUUAAGUUUUUGCAACGACUAGUGACGGUUUGUUGACCUUUCGUGACGAAAAUUUAUAUAAAUUGUGUUUAGCAAUGGAUUAUUUCGCCGCUAGCCGUAGGUGAAAACACUAAAUGCGACGAUAUGCUUGUCCGCCUUUCAAUUUGCGUCUUAUCCUCGUAUUUUAAUUGGUGCAAAAUUCUACAAAACAUAAAUACCACAUCUUAAAAGCACUACCGCUAAAUUUAUUAUUAUUAUUAUCACUGAGAUCCCUAUCAAUCCGAAUAAACAAACAAUUGGUUUAUAGAGAAUACAAUAAAUCAUUCAAAAGUGAAACUUUGAGCUACUUCACAGUUUACAUCAACCAAAACACAACAGACAGACAAGGGAUAUAUAAACCAUAUACAAUCAAACAAUUGCAAGCAUGCAUUGGCAACCACUGCACUUGAAGAGGGAGAGAGCAAACAAGUUUACUAAAUGUGAUUCUAGUUUUUCUCUCAUCCUUUGAAUUGCGACUCCCUGCUAUGGGGCAAUGUGACUGAGAAGUCUACACAUUUUAUGAUGCAAUGACGAUGGAACGCAUGGUUGCAUGCUUGAUGCACCCCAAACUGCAAGAUAAAAGAAUAGUUUAGUGACUUAUCAUCAAGCAUCAAGUUGUGCAAACAAUGAACGAAAUAAGUUAUAUCCAAUAAAAACUACAGACUAGAAAAACACAAAUUAGACUGCAAAUGCAAAAUGUGAAAUGUCGGAAUCUAGUCGGAUCAAUGCACAAUAUAAUAAAGGCUUUCGCACUGUAAGAAAUUUGGUUGGCCUAUUUGGCCUAUUUGAAGAAGCACAAUGUAAGAAUUUCAAGCUGAUCAACAAUUAGUAGUUCUUGAAGCAAAAUCAUAUUCAUUCAAUACCAUCAAGUUGAAAUUCAUUCUACUGUGCUUCAAUGCCACAAAGUUAACACCAUAGAAGCCCUCCUCUUUACCAAAAAGAAAAAAAAAAGUUAACACAAUAGAAGUGAAAGAAAAGGAAAAGUAGCGCAUUUAAAAGAGAGGAACCAAAUAACACAGCGAGAAGGAUACGCAAAGGCUGUCACUCAUCUUCUUCUCCUGCAACUGCAAAACCCAAAACCCUUCAUUUCAGAGAAGUUUAUGAUAAUAGACUCUGUUCGAUUCCAUGGGUUUUGACAUUUGGCUUAUGAUUUUAAUGUGGAACCACAUAAUUUUUAAGUGGAGCAAUUCCGAUAGACAUUCCACGUAAGCAGCCCGCCAUACAUGAGGCAAAAGUAAAAUUAGAAAUAUAAACUGUCAAGAUAUAGUACAUCUCAGCAUUUAGUCAUUCGAAGGUCUCUUUUAUUAGAGAAUAGUUUGAGAUUCUUGCACUUCAAAAUUGUUCUUGAUUAAUAUCUACAAAAGUGGAAAAAAUCCCACUUCCCAUUUGAGGAAUUUUAAUUUCUUAUAGCCCUAACACAAAACCUCUUAUUAGCCAGGUGAAAAGAUGAAUAAAAAACUUAUUAUUAAGUUUACUGAGUAAUAAUACAUAUGGUCCAGGAUUCAUGAUAGGUCUUUGAAUUCGUAUCAAUAUAGGUAGUCUCCACAUCAGAUAAUAAAUUAAACGAUGUGCCUCAUGAGUAGGUUACUAUAUAUAUGAACUUUAAGAGAAUAUAUACUCUUAAGUAAUAAGAGACGAUUUAUGAACAACUUCCACAAGACGAGAACGAUAGACUACGAUAUGCAUACCUACCAUAUGUAUGUAACGUUGGGUACAAAUAUAUGGUAGGCAUACCUAUCCUAUGUAUGUACAUAGUAUAUGCAUUGGAUAAUAAAUUGAAAGGUUGUCUCAUUAUUAAGGUUCUAUAUAUGGCAAAUUGACAUCGUCUAUUGUUAUUAACUUACAUGUAUAUUGUUCUUACGUACGUAAACUCUUAUAACCUACAUGAAUAUCCUUCAUAACCUAUAUCUAUAUCGUUCCUACGUAUGUCAACUCUUAUAACCUAUAUGAAUAUCCUUCAUAUCUACGUAACUCAUUAAUAAAACUCCUUCGUACUAUAAGACCAUCAAUUAUAGCUUCAUCCUUCCUUUUGUUUUAUAAUUGAACAUGUGUUUCUUCUAACAAUAACCAAAAGGAUUUUAAUUGUAGUUUUAAUAGCAGAAAAAAUGUAUUCUCUACUUUAUAUAUUGAUAUAUCGUUUAUUAUAUUAAUUGUUAGGACGUGACUCAACAAAAUAGAUGCACGACAGAAAAGAGACAGAGAAACAAAAAAAAUCUAAACAAUAAUGGGCUCAAUUACCUUAUAAGUGAUAAUUACCAAGGAUAGAAAGAAAUAUCGAUCUUUUAAUCAUUUGAAUGAGCCACAACAAAAUCUGUGUUUUAAUGCAUGUAUGUAUGCUAAUUUAACAGACAAGCUUCCAUAUAAAACCAAGGGUGGAUAAGAAGUCCCAUGAAUUCCAAAAAAAUAAAAAGGAAGAUAUUACAUAGGCAUCCACCCAACUCAUAGUACUAAAUUUUCUGCAUCAUAUUUACAACUUUAUUUGUGCUAAUAAAAUUGCCUACCCGAGAUUUCAUAUUUAUCCUACCUAUAAAACAAUCUUAAUUACCAUUUAUGUGAAAACCACAUUCCCCUCACACAUGGACAACAAAUCUUCUUGUAUUGACUCUUCCAUUGUAAGCCGUCAUAAAUUUAGCAAUGUACUAAUAUACCAAAAUGGUCUAUAUUGAUUUUCAUAUCUCCUGCAUUGUAAGAGCAAUAAAUUUCUAUCUAGGAUGUAAUCUUCUAGAAUUGGUUAGGUAGCCCUUGCUGCUCCUAUAUAUAUCGCAGGCUGUUUGGGGCAAGCAAACCCACUAAAGCUACUAAGGCUUUUCCUUCUUCUUCCCUAGUUUGCAAUUGUUUUUCCUCUCAAUUUUUUCUCUUUCAGCCAUGACUAGAAAGAAGGUCAGCCUGACCUACAUCACUAAUGACUCAGCUAGAAAAGCCACAUUCAAGAAAAGGAAGAAGGGUUUGAUGAAGAAGGCGAAUGAACUUAGCACCCUUUGUGAUAUUCAAGCAUGUGUUAUUAUUUAUAGCCAGUAUGAAUCUCACCCUGAAGUUUGGCCAUCCCCUUUGGGAGUGCAACGCAUUGUCUCACAAUUCAGGAGCCUGCCAGAGAUGGACCAGAGCAAAAAGAUGGUCAACCAGGAGACCUUUCUGAGGCAGAGGAUUGUGAAGGCCAACGAGCAGCUGAAGAAGCUGAGGAAGGAGAAUCGGGAGAAGGAGAUGUCGAGGGUCAUGUUUCAGAGCCUGACUGGUAAGCCUCUGCAGGGACUGACCAUGAUUGAUCUGAACGACCUCGGGUGGCUCAUUGACCAGAACUUGAAGGAGCUGGUUGAUAAGAUCAAGACCCGGAAGGAGGAGCUGGCUCAGAGAAAUCCAGUCCCAGUCCCACCAACUCCAGCAGCUGUGCCUGCAGCUGGAGACCAUGCCCUGAACCUGAACAUGCACGCAACAAUGGAGAGACAAGCUUUCGGGCUUAGCAACAUGGGCAACACCAUGCAGAGGCCUUCAUGGUUCACAGACAUGAUGAACCCUAAUGAGCAAAUGGGGUUUGGUGCUGUGGCUGAGGUUCUGCCCUUUGGGGAUCAAUACCAUCAUGGUCAUGGUCUUUGGUCUAACAAUCCUUUUUUUCCUUGAGAUAUCUAGCGUUUGUUUCUUUGGUGUUUUUUAAGUGAUUUGGUGCACGUGUUGAUGGUUUUAGUCUUAAACCACAGGAGGUUGUGUAUCUUUCUUUAAUCUUAUGUAAUAAAAAGUUUAGUGACCAGUAGUUGUUGGGUUUGUUCGUAUUCUUCGAGGGCUUAUUAUCUGAUGUAUUUGAGUAUUAUUAGUCUUUUUAAUAUCCAUGGAAAUAUAAUCUAUAUAAUAUAUAUAAACAUCCAUGGGAUGAGAGACGGGUUGCAUGUAAGAAAUUUUUUUAUUAGUAUAACCAUAAUCGACGAUCAUAUUGUACAAAAGACUUUUAUCGAUAACUAAUUUAGGUAUGUAUGAAGGAUAUACAUGCAUGUUAAUAACAACAGACAAGAUGUCAAUUUGCCAUUUAUAGGAUCUUAACAAUGAGACAACCAUUCAAUUUGCACUGAACGAUACGUACAUAUAGCAGGUACACCUACCAUAUAUUUGCACUGAACGAUACGUACAUAUGGUAGGUACACCCACCAUACACCUGUACUUAGCGGAACGAAACGUAGUCUUACAAACCAUGGACCCUAAACCCUAAUGGUACACCUACCAUUUUACUGUCAUAUUACACAGUAAAAUGACAAUACUUUUUAUCAUUCAUCUUUCACCUAGCAAUUGUCCACAAUGGUGAUAGAGAGAGUCAUAGACAUCGAUGUUUUUUAUCUGUGGAUGGCUACAAAACUAAUUAAUGACCAGAGGUUGUUUUAGGCUAUACGAAACUAAAAUUCCUAAAAUUGGAAGUGGGAUUUUUUCCACUUUGUAUAUGUUAGCUAAGAACGACUUUGAAAUGCAAGAAUUUUAAACUAUCCUCUACAAUGCACUUUGAAAAAAAUGCAAAGAAGACUCUGCUGACUAAUAACUAUGUCUCAUAAUCAUAAAUCAGAUGCAAUCAAAUAAUCAUAAACUCCCUUUCAAUUAAAUAAGAAACUCAUAAAUCAUCAUCAAUUGGAAAAUUGAGUUUAAGACUUACUUGAAGAUUGGAAAUUUGAAAAAUAAUAGUCGAGUUCGCGUCGGCAGGACCCCGGCGGCAGGUGGUUGGGUGGGAAUUGGGGGUUAGGGUUUGAAGAUUUUGGCUGAGGAUUUGGGGUUUUGGGGUUUGGUGGGGGUGUGUUUUUCAGAGUCGCAUUGGGGGAGUUCCGUUCUUUCUUUUUGUUUUUUGGUAUGACCUGGCUCAAAACGGUGUCGUUUGGACCAGGUCAUUAAAAAAUAAAAUAAAACACACCUGGACAUAAAAGUGGAGAAAUAAUCCCCUGAAUACUGCUAAAUAGUAAAUAGCCACACCAAACGACAUGAAAAUUAGUGGCAAUCUUCACUCACUUUUAGUACACCAAAUGAGGCUUAGGUUAAACAUCUUUAAUGUUAAUUAAUCAACUAUUAACCAACUUGACACUAGUUUUUAUUUAUAUAAUAUAAACGAUAUUGAAAAUGAAGGGAAUCAAAACUAACACUUCAGAUGCAUGAAUAAAUUCUCUUGAGUUACAAGCCCCUCACAACUUGAAACUAAUUUUGAUUCAAAACAAGUUUCACCAAUUGUUUCAUAGGAUUCUAAUUUUGACUCGAUGCCACAGUGAUAAAAUAUUUAUUAAUAUCACACUCAACAUGCAUAACAUGCUAUGUUUUGUUUUUUGGACAGAGCAUAACAUGCUAUGUUUCUGAUUCAAAUUGAUCUCAAUUUUUUGUCUCCUAUUUGUUUGGAAGGUUGGUCUGGUAUUUUGUUCUCUACCACUGCUUUUAUCUCUGCUAGCUGUACAGUUCGUGGAACUGUGUUAGAUUCCACUGCUUUGGAUUUCAAUCAAUAUCUCACUUGAAUUAAGACGCUAGAGUUCGGUUUUCAUCCUUCCUCCCUCUAAAGAUCUUUAGAGAUAUUUCUUGUAUAUGACCAUUGUACGGAAUCAUUUUUCAAGCCUGGGCGUCCUUUGUCCCAAAAGAACUCGAGGGGACAGCAACUUUAGUAUUAUAUAGUUGUUCUGAAACUACCUGAAAGAAUACUAUGUCAUGGGAAUGUUGUGGUUGAGGGUCACAAAUUUAAAGGACUCUAUAUGCUGUUAAAAGAUUUUAGUACACUUGCAUCUCCAAACAAUCACUAGAACAAAAAAACUCCUGAGUCAACCACGGUCGUCUAAUUUGCUACAGUAUAGGUAACCGCCGUCUAUUGUGAUAAUUUAUUUAACAAGCUGAAAAACCAAGCUGCUGUAACAUAAAUUGAUUAAAAUUUGAUGCCACACACAGUCUGUGUUGCAGAUUGCAGAUCAAAAGGCAACCUUAAUUGCUUAAACCACAAUGUUGAUUGCAGAUAUGGGGAAGAUUUGGUGAAGUAACUUAAUUUUAUAAUUCAUUGGUACCAAAUUGUACAUUAACCUAAAUAAUUCUUUCAUGUUUCAUCCACACUGAUUUGCUUCUUGGAGCUAACAUAAAUAAUGAUGCCAUGAAAAGUAUGCCAAAGUGUUCACUUAUUUAUUUAGUUUGAAGAUUUUGAGAACCAAUCCAACAUAUAAGAAUGAACGAAAAAAUUGAAGCAUGACGGUAGUCAUAAUCUGUACUUCAGAGAAAAACAAAAGCUUUGAUAAAUAGAAACAAAUACUUGAUGACAUUUAUUAUAGUGAUUCACAAACUAAACUAGUAAAAUAACAGUAUGAUACACUAAGAAAUGCAGACAGGCAUAGCUCCUUCUUAGGACUUUCCAGCUGGGUUUACAGUUAAGGUUUGGCAAUCAGAUUCUGAGACAAUGCACUUGUGGAUUCUGUCAAUGAAAGCAGUAGCUUUGUUGUCGAUGCCGGGCUCAGCUACCCACCCACCUCUGUCCUCCUCACUAACCCACACCCUUCGUGCACUCAUAUACAAAUCCUCCCCCAUGUCAUCUCCUCUGCGAGGCCUCCUCGAUUUGAACAAGCUGAAGAAUGAGAAGGAGGAUUUUUUCUGCCUGUUGUUGCCUCCCAUAACUCUUCUUCGACAAGAAAAAAAUUAAGCACAGUGCUUUAGGUGAUGAGAUGAAGAAAGUACAAAUGUUACUCUCUUCGGUUUGUAGUGGCAAGAAGGAAGAUGUUCUGUAUUUAUAGUUGCAAGUAGCCUUUGUAAAGACGAUCCUAGUGGGUGGAGAAUCUUGGAGGAUUCAAACUUCCAAGGAAGUAAUGGAUGGUUGAGAUGACAAAUUUCUUAUGGUCCUCUGCUUUCUCAAUUGACCAAAACAGACUCAAGGCAUUAUUGGCACUUUAUUUUUCUCAAGUACUUGUACUUCCAUGGACCUUCCAUUGAAAUUUACACAGAGAUCUUUUGGAUAGUGAUAUUGCACCUAAAACUUACUGCUACCUUUCCCACUUUCAUCUUCCCCAUCAUAUAAUUUCCAAUGAUGAUCAUCCAAAUCUGACCUCUUCUUUUGGGAGUUUGUUCUCUACCACUGCUUUUAUUUCUGCUAACAGUACUUAUGUCUGUGAAGAAACACUAUGCCUAGAUACAUCUGCAUGUUGUACUAGGCUUUAAAAACAACUAUAUAAAGUAAAACGCUUAACUGAACUGUGUUAGAUUCCAAAGUUUGUAGCCACUUUAUAUGAAUUUCAACCAGUAUUUCGCUUGAAUUAAGACAUUAGAGUUCGGUUCUCGUCCUUCCUUUCCCUAAGAUCUAAUAGAGAAAUUUCUUGUAUGUGACCAUUGCAUGGAAUCAUUUUUGAAGCCAUGGGCCUCCUUUGUCCCUAAAGAGCUAGAGGGGACAACUUUAUUAUUAUUAUGGUUUUUGUCAAUCAACAACUUUAUUAUUAUAUGGUUGUUCUGAAAAUGCCUGAAAGAAUACUAUGUGAUGGGAAUGAGGGUCACAAAUCUAAAGGACUCUAUACGUUCUUUAAAGAUUUUAAUAUACUUGCACCUCCAAACAAUUUAACCAUGAAUUUAAUUUGGUUUAUUUAACAAGCUCAAAAACCAAGCUGCUGUAUCAUCAAUCAAGUGAAAUUUGAUGCUACACACAACCUGUCAUGGGAUUGUUGCAGAUUGCAGAUCAAAAGGCAACCUUAAAUCACGAUGUUGAUUGCAGAGAUGGGGAAGAUUCGGUUAAGUAACGUAAACCAUUGGUACCAAAUUGUACAUUAACUUACUAAUUAUCAUUCCUGAACUAAAAAUUUACUGUUAAUAUCUUGAACCUGCUGCACUUCUGCUUAUUUCAUGUUUCUUCUACAAUUUAUUUAUUUUAAUAAAGAAAACACUGGAGAACUUUCACACUGAUUUGCUUCUUGGUGCUUAUAUUAUAACAAUCUACUAUAAAACAUGAUGAAUGAUGUCAUGAAAAGUAGGCCAAAGUUGUCAUGUAUUAACUACUUUUAAGGAAACUCAAAACCAGUUAGUUUGAAGAUUUUGAAAACCAAGAUAUAAGAAUGAACAAAAACACUGAAGCAUGAUGGUAGGCAUAAUCUGUACUUAAAAGGGAAAAACAGAAGGUUUGAUAAACAGAAACAAAUUCUUGAUGAUAUUUAUUGUAGUGAUUCACAAACUAAACUAGAUUCAACUUAUUUGAAUAAAAUAACAGUAUGAUACACUAAUAAAUGCAGAGAGGCAUAGCUCCUUCUUAGGACUUUCCAGCAGGGUUUACAGUUAAGGUUUGGCAAUCAGAUUCUGAGACAAUGCUCUUGUGGAUUCUGUCAAUGAAAGCAGUAGCUUUGUUGUCGAUGCCGGGCUCAGCUAUCCACCCGCCUCUGUCCUCCUCACUAGGCCACACCUUUCUUGCACUCAUAUUCAAAUCCUCCCCCAUGUCAUCUCCUCUGCGAGGCCUCCUCGAUUUGAACAAGCUGAAGAAUGAGAAGGAGGAUUUUUUCUGCCUGUUGUUGCCUCCCAUAACUCUUCUUUGACAAGAAAACAAAUUAAGCACAGGGCUUUAGGUAAUGAGAUGAAGAAAGUACAAAUGUUACUCUCUUCGGUUUGUAAGAAGGAAGAUGUUCUGUAUUUAUAGUAGGAAGUAGCCUUUGUUAAAAUGAUCCUAGUGGGCGGAGAAUCUUGGAGGAUUCAAACUUCCAAGGAAGUAAUGGGUGGUGGAGAUAACAAAUUUCUUAUGGUCCUCUGCUUUCUCAAUUGACCAAAACAGACUUAAGGCAUUAUUGGCUCUUUUAUUUUUCUCAAGGACUUCCAUGGACCUUCCAUUGAAAUUUACACAGAGAUCUUUUGGACAGUGAUAUUGCACCUAAAAUUCAUUGCUACCUUUUCUACUUUCAUCUUCCCCAUCAUAUAAUUUCUAAUGAUCAUCAACAAAUCUGACCUCUUUUUUUUGGGGAUAUAAUCAACUUUACUGUGAGAUGUAUUUAAUUAACAGAUACCAUCUAGGAUUUUGACACCAGAACAGGUAAAACCCUCGCGAUCUAGCGUUUAAAUUAUGAUUAGUUUGUGCUUGGCAUGAUAAAUGGGGUUUUUCUAGAGAAAAGAAUUAUUAUCUUCACUUUCUUUCUCCUU
Molecule: long non-coding RNA, 21575 nt
Filed under: Prunus persica (peach)
Lineage: Eukaryota; Viridiplantae; Streptophyta; Magnoliopsida; Rosales; Rosaceae
Description: long non-coding RNA (PPER_LNC006680)
Source: RNAcentral